AGGGGCAGCGGGGGAUGCGUUCGCGCAUUCUGCCGGCGACCGGCGCACGGGUGAGUAACACGUAUGCAACCUGCCCCGUCCAGGGGGAUAAUCGGCGGAAACGCCGUCUAAUACCGCGUAUAUCGGUACCGGGCAUCCGGGAUUGAAGAAAGGGCCUUAGGGUCCGGGACGGGAUGGGCAUGCGGCGCAUUAGGAAGUUGGCGGUGUAACGGACCACCAAUCCGUCGAUGCGUAGGGGUUCUGAGAGGAAGGCCCCCCACACUGGUACUGAGACACGGACCAGACUCCUACGGGAGGCAGCAGUGAGGAAUAUUGGUCAAUGGGCGGGAGCCUGAACCAGCCAAGUCGCGUGAGGGAAGAAGGUACUGAGUAUUGUAAACCUCUCCCCCCCCCCCACAAAGGCGGCCACGGGUGGCCGAAAAAAAAACCCCGGAGAAAAAGCAUCGGCGGGCUCCAAACCAGCAGCCGCGGUAAUACGGAGGAUGCGAGCGUUAUCCGGAUCUAUUGGGUUUAAAGGGUGCGCAGGCGGCGUGUCAAGUCAGCGGUAAAAUGUCGGGGCUCAACCCGGGCGGGCCGUUGAAAACUGGCGUGGCUCGAGUGGGAGGGAAGUAUGCGGAAAUUCGUGGUGUAGCGGUGAAAUGCAUAGAUAUCACGAAGAACCCCGAUUGCGAAGGCAGCAUACCGGCUCCACACUGACGCUGAGGCACGAAAGCGUGGGUAUCGAACAGGAUUAGAUACCCUGGUAGUCCACGCAGUAAACGAUGAAUGCUAGGUGUCCGGGGCUUUGUGUCCUGGGUGCCACAGCGAAAGCGUUAAGCAUUCCACCUGGGGAGUACGCCGGCAACGGUGAAACUCAAAGGAAUUGACGGGGGCCCGCACAAGCGGAGGAACAUGUGGUUUAAUUCGAUGAUACGCGAGGAACCUUACCCGGGCUCAAACGCAGGGAGACGGCGGUCGAAAGGCUGCUUUCCACGGACUGCCUGCGAGGUGCUGCAUGGUUGUCGUCAGCUCGUGCCGUGAGGUGUCGGCUUAAGUGCCAUAACGAGCGCAACCCCUGCCGCCAGUUGCUAACGCUAAAGGCGAGGACUCUGGCGGGACUGCCGGCGCAAGCCGCGAGGAAGGCGGGGAUGACGUCAAAUCAGCACGGCCCUUACGUCCGGGGCGACACACGUGUUACAAUGGGCGGCACAGCGGGAAGCCAGGCGGCGACGCCGAGCGGAACCCGAAAGCCGUUCUCAGUUCGGGUCGGAGUCUGCAACCCGACUCCGUGAAGCUGGAUUCGCUAGUAAUCG
RNAcentral lists this ribosomal RNA (1292 nucleotides) under uncultured bacterium. RNAcentral describes it as "bacterial SSU rRNA". It matches the Rfam family "Bacterial small subunit ribosomal RNA", at positions 65 to 1344 of the family's 1533-position model. The record is from RNAcentral.